CGGAGGGAUCAUUACAGAGUUUUCUAAACUCCCAACCCUAUGUGAACUUACCUUUGUUGCUUCGGCGGCGGAGGCUACCCUGCGGGAGAAUACCACUUAGUGGUUACCCUGUAGUUUCAGGUACAUCAGCUACCCGGUAGUCAUCCCCGCCGGCGGCCAACUAAACUCUGUUUUCUUUGGAAUUCUGAAUAACAAACUUAAUAAGUUAAAACUUUCAACAACGGAUCUCUUGGUUCUGGCAUCGAUGAAGAACGCAGCGAAAUGCGAUAAGUAAUGUGAAUUGCAGAAUUCAGUGAAUCAUCGAAUCUUUGAACGCACAUUGCGCCCAUUAGCAUUCUAGUGGGCAUGCCUGUUCGAGCGUCAUUUCACCACUUAAGCCUUGUUGCUUAGCGUUGGGAGCCUACGGCACGGCCCGUAGCUCCUUAAAGUGAUUGGCGGAGUUGGUUCUCACUCUAAGCGUAGUAAUUAUAUCUCGCUUCUGUAGUGGUCCCGGCCCCUGCCGUAAAACCCCUUAUACAAAGGUUGACCUCGGAUCAGGUAGGAAUACCCGCUGAACUUAAGCAUAU
This 566-nucleotide ribosomal RNA is filed under the name fungal endophyte. Its description in RNAcentral is "eukaryotic LSU rRNA". The stretch from base 210 to 363 matches the Rfam family "5.8S ribosomal RNA". Lineage: Eukaryota; Fungi. The record is from RNAcentral.